CCUACGGGGGCAGAAGUGAGGAAGAGUGGGCAAGGGACGCAAGUCGGAACCAGACAAGUAGAGUGAAGGAGGACGGCCCUCCGGGGUGGAAACUGCGUUUAGUGGGGAAGAAAAGGGGGCUCGGGAGCCCCGUAUGGGAGGUACCAGCAGAAAAAGGACCGGCUAAUUCCGUGCCAGCAGCCGCGGUAAUACGGAAGGUCCGGGCGUGAUCCGGAUUGAUUGGGUUUAAAGGGAGCGUAGGCCGGCUUUUAAGUCCGCGGUGAAAGUCCGCGGCUCACCCGUGGAAUGGCAGUUGAAACGGGAGGCCUUGAGUGCACACAGGGCUGCCGGAAUUCAUGGUGUAGCGGU
Molecule: ribosomal RNA, 348 nt
Filed under: uncultured bacterium
Lineage: Bacteria
Description: partial 16S ribosomal RNA
Rfam family: Bacterial small subunit ribosomal RNA
Source: RNAcentral